UGAGGGUCUUCUCUGGUGAUGCUCUGCUGAGUUUCUAAUGCAGCCAACUUCAGCUCCUGCUUGUUUCUGGGGCUUCUCCCCUGCAGUUUUCUCUUCAGCAUAUGGAAGGCCUUCUCAAUUGGAUUUAAGUCAGGUGACUGGCUUGGCAUUCAAGAAAUUUUCCAUUCUUUAGCUUUGAUAAACUCCCGUGUUUCCUCAGCAGUCUGUUUGGCUUAUUAUCUUGUUGGAGGAUGAAGCGCCGUCCAGUGAGUUUGGAGGCAUCUACAGGAACUUGGGCAGAUCAGAUGUUUCUACACACCUUAGAGUUCAUUGUGCCGUCAGCAGUUCCAUCAUCAGUGAAGAGAAGUGUGCCAGGACCUGUGGCUGCCAUACAUGCCCAAGCCAUAACAUUUCCACCACCAUGUUUAACAGAUGAGGUGGUCUGCUUUCGAUCUUGGGCAGUUCCUUUUCAUCUCCACACUUUACUCUCGCCAUCACUCUGAUGAGGUUCAUCUUUGUCUCAUCUGUUCACAAGACCUUUUCCCAGAAUUCUGCAGGCUCUUUGAUGUCCUUUUUCACAAACUGUAAUCUGGCCAUCCUGAUUUUGUGACUAACUAGUGGUCUUCAUCUUGUAGUGUGUCCUCUGUGUUUCUGUUCAUGAAGUCUUCUUCUGAUAGUCGUCUCUGACACGUCCACAUCGGCCCCCUGAAGACUGUGUCUGAUCUGUCGGAGAGAUGUUUGGGGCUUUUUCUUGACGAUAGUGAGGAUUCUUCUUUCAUCAGCAGUGGAGGUCUUCCUUGGCCUACCAGUCCUUUUGUGAUUACUGAGCUCACCAGUGCCUUCUUUCUUCUUCAUGAUAUUCCAGAUCGCUCAUUUCAGUCAUUCUAAGGUUUUGCUUAUAUCUCUAAUGGUUUUAUUCUUGUUUCUCAGCCUCAUAAUGGCUUCUUUGACUUUCAUUGGCACAGCUCUUGUCUUCAUAUUGAACAUUGGCGACUACAGACUCCAAAGGGUAGAAGCAGGCCGAGGUAUCUUAUGAAGCCACGAAACCCACCUGAGGAAUCACAAACACCUGAGAUGCCAAUUGUCCCAAACAUUACAGUGCCCUGAAAUGGGGCGACCAUGUAGAAAAAGUGUUGUGAUGUGACCGAAAUGUC
Molecule: long non-coding RNA, 1133 nt
Organism: Erpetoichthys calabaricus (reedfish)
Lineage: Eukaryota; Metazoa; Chordata; Cladistia; Polypteriformes; Polypteridae
Exons: 3
Source: RefSeq, a predicted model, not a curated record